AACGAACGCUGGCGGCAUGCCUAACACAUGCAAGUCGAACGAGAUCUUCGGGUCUAGUGGCGCACGGGUGCGUAACGCGUGGGAAUCUGCCCUCAGGUUCGGAAUAACCAUUGGAAACGAUGGCUAAUACCGGAUGAUGACGUUAAGUCCAAAGAUUUAUCGCCUGAGGAUGAGCCCACGUAGGAUUAGCUAGUUGGUGUGGUAAAGGCGCACCAAGGCGACGAUCCUUAGCUGGUCUGAGAGGAUGAUCAGCCACACUGGGACUGAGACACGGCCCAGACUCCUACGGGAGGCAGCAGUGGGGAAUAUUGGACAAUGGGCGAAAGCCUGAUCCAGCAAUGCCGCGUGAGUGAUGAAGGCCUUAGGGUUGUAAAGCUCUUUUACCCGGGAUGAUAAUGACAGUACCGGGAGAAUAAGCUCCAGCUAACUCCGUG
This 434-nucleotide ribosomal RNA is filed under the name uncultured bacterium. RNAcentral describes it as "partial 16S ribosomal RNA". It matches the Rfam family "Bacterial small subunit ribosomal RNA", at positions 29 to 507 of the family's 1533-position model. The record is from RNAcentral.